GGCCCGCACAAGCGGUGGAGUAUGUGGUUUAAUUCGAUGCAACGCGAAGAACCUUACCAGGGUUUGACAUCCUGCGAAUCUCUUGGAAACAGGAGAGUGCCUUCGGGAACGCAGUGACAGGUGGUGCAUGGCUGUCGUCAGCUCGUGUCGUGAGAUGUUGGGUUAAGUCCCGCAACGAGCGCAACCUACGUCUUUAGUUGCCAGCAUUUUAGUUGGGCACUCUAGAGAGACUGCCGGUGAUAAACCGGAGAAGGUGUGGAUGACGUCAAGUCAUCAUGCCCCUUACAUCUGGGCCUACACACGUACUACAAUGCUACGGACAAAGGGCUGCAAGUUCGCGAGGACAAGCAAAUCCCAUAAACGUGGCUCAGUUCAGA
Molecule: ribosomal RNA, 377 nt
Filed under: uncultured bacterium
Lineage: Bacteria
Description: bacterial SSU rRNA
Rfam family: Bacterial small subunit ribosomal RNA
Source: RNAcentral